GAUGAAGAACGCAGCGAAAUGCGAUACGUAAUGUGAAUUGCAGAAUUCAGUGAAUCAUCGAGUCUUUGAACGCACAUUGCGCCCCCUGGUAUUCCGGGGGGCAUGCCUGUCCGAGCGUCAUUGCUGCCCUCAAGCACGGCUUGUGUGUUGGGCCUCCGUCCUCCUCCCGGGGGACGGGCCCGAAAGGCAGCGGCGGCACCGCGUCCGGUCCUCGAGCGUAUGGGGCUUCGACACCCGCUCUUGUAGGCCCGGCCGGCGCUUGCCGACACAUCAAUCUUUUUUCCAGGUUGACCUCGGAUCAGGUAGGGAUACCCGCUGAACUUAAGCAUAUCAAUAAGCGGAGGA
This 345-nucleotide unclassified non-coding RNA is filed under the name soil metagenome. RNAcentral describes it as "partial contains 5.8S ribosomal RNA, internal transcribed spacer 2, and large subunit ribosomal RNA". The stretch from base 1 to 120 matches the Rfam family "5.8S ribosomal RNA", at positions 35 to 154 of the family's 154-position model. The record is from RNAcentral.